RNAcentral lists this ribosomal RNA (468 nucleotides) under uncultured bacterium. RNAcentral describes it as "partial 16S ribosomal RNA". It matches the Rfam family "Bacterial small subunit ribosomal RNA", at positions 28 to 507 of the family's 1533-position model. The record is from RNAcentral.
GACGAACGCUGGCGGCGUGCUUAACACAUGCAAGUCGAACGGAAAGGCCCUGCUUUUGUGGGGUGCUCGAGUGGCGAACGGGUGAGUAACACGUGAGUAACCUGCCCUUGACUUUGGGAUAACUUCAGGAAACUGGGGCUAAUACCGGAUAGGAGCUCCUGCUGCAUGGUGGGGGUUGGAAAGUUUCGGCGGUUGGGGAUGGACUCGCGGCUUAUCAGCUUGUUGGUGGGGUAGUGGCUUGCCAAGGCUUUGACGGGUAGCCGGCCUGAGAGGGUGACCGGCCACAUUGGGACUGAGAUACGGCCCAGACUCCUACGGGAGGCAGCAGUGGGGAAUAUUGCACAAUGGGCGGAAGCCUGAUGCAGCAACGCCGCGUGCGGGAUGACGGCCUUCGGGUUGUAAACCGCUUUCGCCUGUGACGAAGCGUGAGUGACGGUAAUGGGUAAAGAGGCACGGGCUAACUACGUG